RNAcentral lists this ribosomal RNA (497 nucleotides) under uncultured bacterium. RNAcentral's name for it is "partial 16S ribosomal RNA". It matches the Rfam family "Bacterial small subunit ribosomal RNA", at positions 28 to 507 of the family's 1533-position model. The record is from RNAcentral.
GAUGAACGCUGGCGGCGUGCCUAAUACAUGCAAGUCGAGCGAACAGAUGAGGAGCUUGCUCCUCUGACGUUAGCGGCGGACGGGUGAGUAACACGUGGAUAACCUACCUAUAAGACUGGGAUAACUUCGGGAAACCGGAGCUAAUACCGGAUAAUAUAUUUAACCGCAUGGUUCAAUAGUGAAAGACGGUAUUGCUGUCACUUAUAGAUGGAUCCGCGCCGCAUUAGCUAGUUGGUAAGGUAACGGCUUACCAAGGCAACGAUGCGUAGCCGACCUGAGAGGGUGAUCGGCCACACUGGAACUGAGACACGGUCCAGACUCCUACGGGAGGCAGCAGUAGGGAAUCUUCCGCAAUGGGCGAAAGCUUGACGGAGCAACGCCGCGUGAGUGAUGAAGGUCUUCGGAUCGUAAAACUCUGUUAUUAGGGAAGAACAAAUGUGUAAGUAACUAUGCACGUCUUGACGGUACCUAAUCAGAAAGCCACGGCUAACUACGUG